This 207-nucleotide ribosomal RNA is filed under the name uncultured bacterium. RNAcentral describes it as "partial 16S ribosomal RNA". It matches the Rfam family "Bacterial small subunit ribosomal RNA", at positions 568 to 774 of the family's 1533-position model. The record is from RNAcentral.
CGUGUAGGCGGCCUGAUUAGUCGAAUGUGAAAGCCCGAGGCUCAACCUCGGAAGUGCAUCCGAUACUGUCAGGCUUGAGUACGGGAGAGGGAAGUGGAAUUCCUGGUGUAGAGGUGAAAUUCGUAGAUAUCAGGAGGAACACCGGUGGCGAAGGCGGCUUCCUGGACCGAUACUGACGCUGAGACGCGAAAGCGUGGGGAGCAAACA